UCCAAAUUGAUUGUCUUUAAAAGAUAUACAACUUUCAUGUUUAUAGUUUUAUCAUUUGGAGCUUGCAUCACUGAGACAGAAGGGCUUGAAGUUUGGCCAAUUUUGAAAAUUCCACAUAUGCAUGUUUUGCACCCUAAACUUCAAGUUUAAUUUAUAUUAAUUUCCAAGGCCUAAAUGGAGUUUUGAUCAACAUGACAUUUG
RNAcentral lists this long non-coding RNA (201 nucleotides) under Lathyrus oleraceus (garden pea). Its description in RNAcentral is "Pisum sativum (pea) long non-coding RNA (PSAT_LNC036840)". Lineage: Eukaryota; Viridiplantae; Streptophyta; Magnoliopsida; Fabales; Fabaceae. The record is from RNAcentral.